AGACGUCUACAUUAGAUACCCGGGUAGUCCCAGCCGUAAACUAUGCGCGUUAGGUGUAUCGGUGACCACGAGUUACCGAGGUGCCGAAGGGAAACCGUGAAACGUGCCGCCUGGGAAGUACGGUCGCAAGGCUGAAACUUAAAGGAAUUGGCGGGGAGCACCACAACGGGUGGAGCCUGCGGUUUAAUUGGACUCAACGCCGGGAAGCUCACCGGAUAAGACAGCGGAAUGAUUGCCGGGCUGAAGACUCUGCAUGACUAGCUG
Molecule: ribosomal RNA, 264 nt
Filed under: uncultured archaeon
Lineage: Archaea
Description: partial 16S ribosomal RNA
Rfam family: Archaeal small subunit ribosomal RNA
Source: RNAcentral